CAGUCGCCACGGUAAUACGGAGGGAGCUAGCGUUGUUCGGAAUUACUGGGCGUAAAGGGAGCGUAGGCGGAUCGUUUAGUCAGGGGUGAAAUCCCGGGGCUCAACCUCGGAACUGCCUUUGAUACUGGCGAUCUUGAGUAUGGGAGAGGUGUGUGGAACUCCGAGUGUAGAGGUGAAAUUCGUAGAUAUUCGGAAGAACACCAGUGGCGAAGGCGACACACUGGCCCAUUACUGACGCUGAGGCUCGAAAGCGUGGGGAGCAAACAGGAUUAGAUACCCCAGUAGUCCCUGUCUCUUAUAC
This 301-nucleotide ribosomal RNA is filed under the name uncultured bacterium. RNAcentral describes it as "partial 16S ribosomal RNA". It matches the Rfam family "Bacterial small subunit ribosomal RNA", at positions 509 to 807 of the family's 1533-position model. The record is from RNAcentral.